GGAGGAAAGCAGGGGAUCGCAAGACCUUGCGCUUUUGGAGUGGCCGAUGCCUGAUUAGCUAGUUGGUAGGGUAAUGGCCUACCAAGGCGACGAUCAGUAGUUGGUCUGAGAGGACGACCAGCCACACUGGGACUGAGACACGGCCCAGACUCCUACGGGAGGCAGCAGUGGGGAAUUUUGGACAAUGGGCGAAAGCCUGAUCCAGCAACGCCGCGUGAGUGAAGAAGGCCUUCGGGUUGUAAAGCUCUUUCAGUCGAGAAGAAAAGGUUGUGACUAAUAAUCACAACUCAUGACGGUAUCGACAGAAGAAGCACCGGCUAACUACGUGCCAGCAGCCGCGGUAAUACGUAGGGUGCGAGCGUUAAUCGGAAUUACUGGGCGUAAAGGGUGCGCAGGCGGCUUUGUAAGUCAGAUGUGAAAGCCCCGGGCUUAACCUGGGAAU
RNAcentral lists this ribosomal RNA (442 nucleotides) under uncultured ammonia-oxidizing beta proteobacterium. RNAcentral's name for it is "bacterial SSU rRNA". It matches the Rfam family "Bacterial small subunit ribosomal RNA", at positions 198 to 621 of the family's 1533-position model. The record is from RNAcentral. Lineage: Bacteria; Pseudomonadati; Pseudomonadota; Betaproteobacteria.